This is a long non-coding RNA of Meriones unguiculatus (Mongolian gerbil), 927 nucleotides long. RefSeq lists it as uncharacterized. The record is from RefSeq and is a predicted model, not a curated record. NCBI's taxonomy places the organism in Eukaryota, Metazoa, Chordata, Mammalia, Rodentia, Muridae. The transcript has 3 exons.
CUAUGGAAGUUCGACCUAGUGACUUGGAGAAACUAUCAAUAUUUGCUGACCUUAUACUUUGCCAUUGAAGAGAUAAAUAAGGACUCAAACCUGCUUCCCAAUAUGACCUUGGGUUCCCACAUCUACAAUGCUUUUAAUUCUAACAAAAUAACCUUGGAGGACCCUCUGAUAUGGCUGUCUGGAAGGAGUCACAUAUGGACCAUUUGAUUCCAUGCUUAGUGACAAAGAUACAUUUGCAUUCCUUUAUCAGAUGUCUACUGAAGACAGAGGUCUAGCCCAAGGGCUGAUCUCUUUAUUGCUCCACUUUGGCUGGAAGUGGGUGGGGAUCAUUGUGUCUGAUGAUCAGAGAGGAAGGGAGUUUCUCUCUGACCUGAAAGUAAAGAUGGUAACAGAAGAUAUCUGUGUGGCUUUUAUAGAAAAACUCCCAGAUAAUUUGAAUGUAAAUGUAAACUAUGAUUAUUGUUUGCAAAACUUGAAACAACAUACUCAAGUAAAUGUGAAUUUAUUCUAUGGUGAUAUAGAUGACUUGCUGUUCUGUGUAGACAUUAGUAUCUUUGUAACCAGAAAGAAGGUGUGGAUUUUGGCAAAGCCACACUCGACAUACUUAGAGUCUAUAAUAAAUGAAAAGCAUAUUAUGAUAAACCUAUUCAGUGGAAGCUUAUCAUUUUUAAAGAAGAGAACUAUCCCUGGCUUCAAGCACUUUCUUGAGGCCCUUACACCCUCCCAUUACCCAGGAGAUGUUUACUUCUCUAAACUCUGGAUUGACAAAUUUAAUUGUUCACCUCCUGCUUCGCAAUGUGGAAAUUUUAAACCCUGUCCUUUGAAUAGUUCCCUAAAGACUAAGGAUAAAAUAAAUGAUAUGAUGUCUAUUUCUGAGCCAAGCUAUUCCUUAUGGAGUGCAGUACAUGCAGUGGCCCAUGCCCUACA